RNAcentral lists this transfer RNA (89 nucleotides) under Acidobacteriaceae bacterium. Its description in RNAcentral is "tRNA-Leu". It matches the Rfam family "tRNA". Rfam says of the family: Transfer RNA (tRNA) molecules are approximately 80 nucleotides in length. Their secondary structure includes four short double-helical elements and three loops (D, anti-codon, and T loops). Lineage: Bacteria; Pseudomonadati; Acidobacteriota; Terriglobia; Terriglobales; Acidobacteriaceae. RNAcentral also lists the same sequence under 2 other names. The record is from RNAcentral.
GCCCGGGUGGCGAAACUGGCAGACGCAAAGGACUUAAAAUCCUUUUCGCCGCAAGGCGAGUGCGGGUUCAAGUCCCGCCCCGGGCACCA